RNAcentral lists this long non-coding RNA (1963 nucleotides) under Marmota monax (woodchuck). Lineage: Eukaryota; Metazoa; Chordata; Mammalia; Rodentia; Sciuridae. The record is from RNAcentral.
GGCAGGGUGGCUGCGGGCCCCUGGCCUGCCCUGGCCUGGUCCCUGUCCCCACCCUGGCCUGUGAGACUCGGAAGUUGCCGGGGCCUCCCGCGAGUCCUUAUGGGCUCAGAGCCUUCAGAGUCUGAGGCCUCGUGGCUCCCGAGGGCUGCACUUGGGCCUGAGCACCUCCCGGGCACAGGGUCCACCGCGGGGUCUUCACCUCCUCUCAACCCAGUCCCCCUUACGUGAGCAGAGCAGGGUCUUCGCAGGACCUCAGGCACAGACAGGGAAGCAGCGUGGGCCUGGACACAGCAGUCGCUGCGAGCCCCCGGGGCCUGGGUCAGGGUGGGAGCACACCACGCUCACACUCGCCAUCACACACUUACCCACACUGACACACCCACGCCACCCAUGCACAUGUGCUCAUGUUACAUACACAACCCAGGGUGCUGACCACUGAGCCACAGCCCCAGCCCUUUUCAUUCUUUAAAUUUUGAGACGGGGUCUUACUAAGUCGCUUAGGGUCUCGCUAGGUUGCUGAGCUGGCCCUGAACUUGCGAUCCUCCUGCCUCAGCCUCCUGAGUGGCUGGGCUCACAGGUGGGCACCACCGCACCGGCCUGGCAGUCCUUGCUGAGCCUGUCAGGAAGCCGAGUCCACAUCUUCUCUGCUCUCUGGACAUCUGUGGACGUCCCUGACUGUGCCACAGGAGUUGGGGUUACAAAGGAAAUCUCACUCAGCAGGUGAAUCUGUGAAUCUGGCCCCAAGGUGUUGAGACCUGACUCCUUCAGGAGAGGGAGGCUGCCGAGGGCAUCACAGGGUGGCAAGUUCCCCCAGGGCUGAAGCAGCCUCCGACGGACGGGGCUGUGGGGCUCGGCGGCACUGAGCUGAGUGUCUCCGCGGCCCCCUGGCGCGGCAGGGCUGGCCGCGGCACUUAAGAACCUGCUCUAAUUAAACGGAGGCCUCAGGUCAGCUUCUCCAGGAGACCAGCUAGACACCACUGUGGGCCAUGUUGGGGGCUCUCGGGCACAGCCCCAUGGGGCAGGCGGGCCCCUGUGUCCUCCAGAGGGUUCCGUCCUAGAAACACAAGCCAGUGGAUGGAGUCCAAGCAGACCCACCCAGGGAUGCUGGAUCCCAGAAUGACGUGGGGACAGAAACCUCAAGCGAGCACUGUCACAGCGUGAGUCAUCUGUGCUGUCCCCGGGGCCGCUCAUGUUAAAAUAGCCAGGAGCUCCCAGGGUCACGGUGACUCUCACAGGCUGGGUUAGGGCAAAGUCGGACGUGAGAGUCCAGAGCGUGUGGGACCUCGUGGGACAAACGGGGAUGCUCGGCUCGGCAAGGAGGACGCCGGCACAGAGGCACUCCUGCUGCUGAUGUCCUUCCACCUCCUUCGUCCACAGAGCACCCGAGAGGCCCGAGCAUGCAGGCUCGAGUUCUGUAAAGGUGUGUGUCCCAGGCCCAGCCGGGGGGACAGCACCUGGCAGGCGAGGGCCACCCACCUGGCUGGACCUUCUGCGGCCCCCUGGUCCAGCCUCUUGUGCCUGCUGGGGAAUUCAUGUUGAAAGGGACGUGCCUGACCCCACGGUGCCCGUUGCCAUGGCAGCCACCCGGACGCCUGGGGGCUGCACACUUGCUGGAUUCCUCACAUAGCUGCAGCCUAGGUGGGGUGGGGACUCGGGGGCCCUUGGAAUGUGGCUGCUGGGGCCCACUUCUGCCUGGCCUGCCCCUCUCACCUGAGCACUGCCCGUCAGGCUGCGCCACAGGGGCUGCGGGAACAUGAUCCCGGGGCGAUGGGGACCCGGGGUCCUGCAGACAGUGGCAUUCAUCAGCGUCUGAAUCAGCCCCUGCUGCCCCCUGAACCCCCAGCAGGACUGAGCGGCCCGGGCAGCAGCGCUUCCUAGCUGUGUGGAGGGAGCCCACCCACCGUGUUCUGGGGGUGUCCCUUUGGCCCUCGGCUAUCACUGGGCUCAAAGUGGAGACUGGGGC